Molecule: ribosomal RNA, 253 nt
Filed under: uncultured bacterium
Lineage: Bacteria
Description: partial 16S ribosomal RNA
Rfam family: Bacterial small subunit ribosomal RNA
Source: RNAcentral
UACGUAGGGAGCAAGCGUUGUCCGCAAUCAUUGGGCGUAAAGCGCGCGUCGGUGGCCUCAUAAGUCCGCUGUGAAAGUCAAAGGCUCAACCUUUGAAAGCCGAUGGAUACUGCGGAGCUAGAGUACGGAAGAGGCGAGUGGAAUUCCUGGUGUAGCGGUGGAAUGCGCAGAUAUCAGGAGGAACACCAAUAGCGAAGGCAGCUCGCUGGGACGUUACUGACACUGAGGCGCGAAAGCGUGGGGAGCGAACAGG